RNAcentral lists this long non-coding RNA (349 nucleotides) under Triticum aestivum (bread wheat). Its description in RNAcentral is "long non-coding RNA (TAES_LNC020683)". Lineage: Eukaryota; Viridiplantae; Streptophyta; Magnoliopsida; Poales; Poaceae. The record is from RNAcentral.
UAUAUAAAAUAAAAUUGUCUAGCUAAUGACAAUAGAGCCUCAAAGAUGAUUCCUUUGCCCAUUUUCGAAAAAACAAUUGAUUUCCUUGAUUCAAAACAACUGGCCUCAGCAACAUUAUGAAACUCAACAUGAUAGGGACUGUCAUCAUCAGGAAAAAAUUAACUCAACAUGUGUUUCAAAGUAGCUAAUUGCUGAAGGAAUAAAUCACACCAUUCAUGCAGAACCUUUACUGUAACCAGCAGAUCUGAUUAAACUAGAACAUGAACAUUAGGGAUAACUGAGGUAAAUAACAAUAGAACAAAGACACAUCAUCACAUCUCCAACUAUGCUUCCAUCCAGCUUAAUUCAG